GAAUGCUGACAUAAGUAACGAUAAAGCGGGUGAAAAGCCCGCUCGCCGGAAGACCAAGGGUUCCUGUCCAACGUUAAUCGGGGCAGGGUGAGUCGACCCCUAAGGCGAGGCCGAAAGGCGUAGUCGAUGGGAAACGGGUUAAUAUUCCCGUACUUGGUGUUACUGCGAAGGGGGGACGGAGAAGGCUAUGUUGGCCGGGCGACGGUUGUCCCGGUUUAAGCGUGUAGGUGUGUGUUCCAGGUAAAUCCGGUUCACUUUAACACUGAGGCGUGACGACGAGGCACUACGGUGCUGAAGCAACAAAUGCCCUGCUUCCAGGAAAAGCCUCUAAGCAUCAGGUAACACGAAAUCGUACCCCAAACCGACACAGGUGGUCAGGUAGAGAAUACCAAGGCGCUUGAGAGAACUCGGGUGAAGGAACUAGGCAAAAUGGUGCCGUAACUUCGGGAGAAGGCACGCUGACACGUAGGUGAAGUGAUUUACUCAUGGAGCUGAA
RNAcentral lists this ribosomal RNA (496 nucleotides) under Salmonella enterica subsp. enterica. RNAcentral's name for it is "partial 23S ribosomal RNA". It matches the Rfam family "Bacterial large subunit ribosomal RNA", at positions 1292 to 1781 of the family's 2925-position model. Lineage: Bacteria; Pseudomonadati; Pseudomonadota; Gammaproteobacteria; Enterobacterales; Enterobacteriaceae. The record is from RNAcentral. RNAcentral also lists the same sequence under 1 other name.